This 493-nucleotide ribosomal RNA is filed under the name Salmonella enterica subsp. enterica serovar Enteritidis. RNAcentral's name for it is "partial 23S ribosomal RNA". It matches the Rfam family "Bacterial large subunit ribosomal RNA", at positions 2334 to 2824 of the family's 2925-position model. The record is from RNAcentral. Lineage: Bacteria; Pseudomonadati; Pseudomonadota; Gammaproteobacteria; Enterobacterales; Enterobacteriaceae.
GACAUCAGGAGGUUAGUGCAAUGGCAUAAGCCAGCUUGACUGCGAGCGUGACGGCGCGAGCAGGUGCGAAAGCAGGUCAUAGUGAUCCGGUGGUUCUGAAUGGAAGGGCCAUCGCUCAACGGAUAAAAGGUACUCCGGGGAUAACAGGCUGAUACCGCCCAAGAGUUCAUAUCGACGGCGGUGUUUGGCACCUCGAUGUCGGCUCAUCACAUCCUGGGGCUGAAGUAGGUCCCAAGGGUAUGGCUGUUCGCCAUUUAAAGUGGUACGCGAGCUGGGUUUAGAACGUCGUGAGACAGUUCGGUCCCUAUCUGCCGUGGGCGCUGGAGAACUGAGGGGGGCUGCUCCUAGUACGAGAGGACCGGAGUGGACGCAUCACUGGUGUUCGGGUUGUCAUGCCAAUGGCACUGCCCGGUAGCUAAAUGCGGAAGAGAUAAGUGCUGAAAGCAUCUAAGCACGAAACUUGCCCCGAGAUGAGUUCUCCCUGAGACUUUAG